GGGUUAUGGUUUUCGGAUUGUAACCUAGUGGCAAACGGCUGAGUAAUACGUAAGUAACCCGCCUUGGAGUGGGAAAUAACCUGCCGAAAGGCGAGCUAAUGUCCCAUGUGGUAACGAGGCGUAAGCUUCGUUACUAAAGCUUUCGGGCGCUCCAAGAGGGGCUUGCGUCUGAUUAGCUAGUUGGUGGGGUAAUGGCUUACCAAGGCUAUGAUCAGUAGCUGGUCUGAGAGGAUGGCCAGCCAGAUGGGGACUGAGACACGGCCCCAACUCCUACGGGAGGCAGCAGCAAGGAAUUUUGGGCAAUGAGCGAAAGCUUGACCCAGCGACACCGCGUGAGGGAAUAAGGCCUUCGGGUUGUAAACCUCUUUUCUUGGGGAAGAAUCUCGACGGUACCCAAGGAAUAAGCCUCGGCCAACUACGUGCCAGCAGCCGCGGUAAGACGUAGGAGGCAAACGUUAUUCGGAUUUACUGGGCGUAAAGGGAGCGUAGGCGGUUCCUCAAGUCGAAUGUGAAAUCUUCUGACUCAAUCAGAAGGCGCCAUUUGAUACUGGGGGACUUGAGAGCAGCAGAGGGAAAUGGAAUCCCCGGUGUAGCGGUGAAAUGCGUAGAUAUUGGGGAGAACACCAGUGGCGAAGGCGGUUUCCCAGGCUGUUUCUGACGCUGAGGCUCGAAAGCGUGGGAAGCGAAGCGGAUUAGAUACCCGCGUAGUCCACGCCCUAAACGGUGGACACUAGAUAUAGGAGGUAUCGACCCUUUCUGUGUCGAAGCUAACGCUUUAAGUGUCCCGCCUGGGGAGUACGG
This 801-nucleotide ribosomal RNA is filed under the name uncultured bacterium. RNAcentral describes it as "bacterial SSU rRNA". It matches the Rfam family "Bacterial small subunit ribosomal RNA", at positions 68 to 885 of the family's 1533-position model. The record is from RNAcentral.